This 3656-nucleotide unclassified non-coding RNA is filed under the name Portunus trituberculatus (swimming crab). RNAcentral's name for it is "uncharacterized LOC123513709, transcript variant X5". The record is from RNAcentral. Lineage: Eukaryota; Metazoa; Arthropoda; Malacostraca; Decapoda; Portunidae.
UCCUCACCUUUCCAAAACAUUUCCCUUUUUUGAGCACAAGCGGGAGUUUUACCACCUCCACACUCACCAUACUCACCACUCACGCACUUCACCACUACCUCCACCUCACCACGCUGGGGGAAGGCUGGGGGAGGCGGAGAAAAGCGUGAAAAAGAGUGACGUCUCCUCUUAUCUCUUGGACAGGAAGCGGAUAGAACAGAUCGAGGCUGGACGCUGUUACUGGCUGUCUCUGUUUUCUCUGUGUCUCUUUCUCUUUGUUUUCUGGUGUGUUUGUGAAGGUUUGGGUGUGGGUGUGGUGAGGUGCUGUGAUGGCUGCUGUCAAACCCAAAGUGCUCGUGUUGGGAGGAUGCGGGUUCAUCGGACGGUACGUGGUGUGUGAGCUGGUGGAGAAGCAGGUGUGUUCUAGCAUCUGUGUGGUGGACAAGGUGCCGCCCCAGAUCGCGUGGCUCAAUGAGAGACAGUCCAAGGUGUUUGCCGACGAGAGUAUCACCUUCCGCAGCGCCAACCUCAUCAAUGCUGCCUCGUGUGCCAGUGCCUUUGGGGAGGAGGAGUGGGACUGGGUGAUCAAUGCCGCAGGGGAGACAAAAACUGGACAGGUUGACGCAGUGUACCAUGAAGGCAUCGUGCACCUGUCGACCAACUGUGCCAAGGAGGCGGCCAAGAGGAGAGUGAAGGUGUACUUGGAGGUGUCGGCUGGCACCAUGUUCUCCGAUGACAAGGUAGUGGCCCACAAGGAGACCGACUCAUGCACACCCUGGAAAGUGGCGGGGAAGUGCAAGUAUCAGGUGGAGGAGGAGAUUAAGAACAUUCCAGACCUUAAUUGGAUCAUCAUAAGGCCCGCCACUGUGUACGGUGUCUCGGAUCGCACUGGAUUGACCACACGCCUUGUAUUUGGAGCAGUGUACCGUCACCUCAAUGAGCCCAUGAAGCUGCUCUGGGAUAAGAACCUUUAUGUCAACACUGUCCAUGUCACUGAUGUUGCCAGGGCGGUGGUGUGGCUGUGUCAGAGGGAGAAGGUCCACCAGAUAUACAACGUGGUGGAUGAGAACAACACCACACAGGGCAACAUCACAGAGAUCGUGUCCGACAUUUUCAACAUCAACUACGACUACUGGGGCAAUGUGUUCUCCAAGCUGGCCAAGACCGACACACUGGGGCUGGUGACAGAUGUGAACGACAAACACCUGGUGCCGUGGGCUGCUGUGUGUUCUGCCGGGGGUCUGGAGAACACACCCCUCACCCCGUACAUAGACCAGGACUCCGUGCAGUGCUGCCACCUACACCUGGAUGGCUCUAAGCUGCGGUCCGAGGGUUCACUUACUCCUUCCCUAAACCCACCAAAGAGUUACUGAUGGAGAUUUUGAAGGACUUUAUCAACAUGAAGGUCUUCCCAGCCAAUGCACUUCCCAGCCAGGAUUAGUGCCAGCCAGACCCAGAAGUGCCAAGCAUAGGAGAGUAAGAGGUGGUGAAUUUUGGAUGACACACCUUCAACAUUUUCAGCGCCUUCCUUUCUUCCUUCACCUGCUGACGACUUGUUAAUGAAGCACACUGCACCUGCCUGCCUGAAAUUUACCUACUGCAUGAGGGACAAGAGAGUGAGACUGCCAACACACCUCCACUAAUUCAAGACCUCCUCCACUAGUGCAGGUUUUGAAACACAACACUGACUCAACAGAAGGUUAAUUUGAACUACAAUCGAUACAAGCCAUAGAGAAUUAGUGAAUCAGUGUGUUUGAAUGGGUUAAAAGUACUUAGGAGGAAGUUACCUGUUUAUUGGCUGAUUAGUGUUAUUGAUGUUACCUGUGGGUGUGUGUAUGUGUGUGUGUACCUCAGUGAUGCUUGUGUAUGUGUGUGUAUCAGAGAUGUUUGGCGGUAUAUCUGUGUGUGCAUCAGUGAGUGUAUGUGUGUGAGUGUCUGUCAAGAAGGCGGAGUGUGGCUGCCGUGUGGAGGGUGUAGCGGCAGUGGCAGCAGCGGCGGUGGUGGCAGCGUUCCGUGUGCCGUGUGAUAUCCUGUGCCAUACAAGUAACCACAACAUUCCUCAUUGGUGAUAAAUGUGAUAAGUCUCUGUGCCUUCCAGUCUUCGCCGCCACCCCGCCGCCACCUGCCACCCGCCUCCCCCAUAGUGCAGCCCACCCCAUCACCUUGCCUGGCUGGGGUCGGCUCGGUUAGGUUAGGUCGUGAUAUAGUCUGACUUGGCUGGAUUAGAUUUGAUUAAGUUUGGUAAUUUUGUUUUGUUUAUUUACUUAUUUAUUUAUUUUUGGUACGGUUAGGUUAGAUCAAGUUAGGCUAGGCUAGGUUUGGUUUGGGUUUCAUUAUUUUAUUUUAUUUCAUCUUAUUUUAUUCAUUUUUAUAUUCAUUUGUUCAUUUAGUUUGGUACCGUGAGGUUAAAUGAAGUUAGGUUUGGUGUGACAUGGUUUUGGUUUGGUUAAGUUAGGUUUGGCUACAUGAAGUUAUAUUCUAGCUUGGUUUGGUUAGGUUAGGUUGGGUUAGCUUUGGUGUGACAUGGUUUGGUUUGGUUAAGUUAGGUUUGGCUACAUGAAGUUAUAUUCUGGUAUGGUUAGUCUAGCUUUGGUUGGGUGAGAUGAGGUUGGCAUGAUUAGAUUGAGCUUGUUUUGUGUAGUUUGUUAGUGCUGAUAUGUGGGAAGUGUCAGAUGUCAGGUUAUGUCAAUUUAUGGGAUGUUGGGUCAGAUUUGGAUAGGUCGGGAUGGACUGGGUUAGAGGAGGGUAAUUAGGUUAGGUUAGGUCAGUUUAGGACACUUAAGGUCACCUCUGGGCCAGAUAUUAGGUGUGUCAGGUGAGGUCAACUUUGCCUAACCUCACCGAUCUUAGACAAGACUGGAGGAGAUAAGGACAUGAUAAAUCCAGAACAAAAUUGUGGGAUCUGAUGAUUAAAGUAUACUGUGUGUGUGUGUGUGUGUGUGUGUGUGUGUGUGUGUGUGUGUGUGUGUGUGUGUGCACAAUAAUGAAAGUUUAUAGGAGAUUAAAACAUGUUAAAUUUGAUAUAAAGUUUAUUGAAAUUUUAACAUAUAUGAUUCAGAGAGAGAGAGAGAGAGAGACUUAUACUAUAAAAAAUAACUUUUGAUAUUUUGAAGUGGAGUAAAGAACAAAGACAGAGAUGCAUAGAGGAAUAAGGAAGAGAGAGAGAGAGAUCAUCUGUCAAUCUUACUUUACAACAAUAGCCAGAUAAUUUAUGCUAUCUCACACACACACACACACACACACACACACACACACACACACACACAUUCAUUAUAGGUAGAUAAGACUGCAGAAGUUGUAUUAUUAUUAUUAGUAUUGAUAUUGCUCUGACUUAGGACAUACACACAAUGGGUAUGUUUUGUGUAUUCUGUCCCUUGGCCCUUUGCACGAGUUUUUGUGUCAUUGUUGGUUCUCUUUGGGUGUUUUUUGGUGUGUUUUUUUAAAAGAGAGAGAGAGAGAUGGUUUGUUAGAUAAUGAGAACUAGAGAGGAAGAGGAGAUGGAGAAGAAAAGUUUUAAUGAGAGAAAAAAAUGCUAGAGGAGAAUAGUCAUUGAGAGAGAGAAAGAAUUUUUGUUCGUGUGAAGAAUAGAUCUUGAGAUAAUGAAAAUGAUUACGAGAGAAAAAAUCUUGUCAUUGUGAGGAAAGAAAAAGAGAGAGAGAGAUUGUAUUCAUUGGAGA